Molecule: ribosomal RNA, 677 nt
Filed under: uncultured archaeon
Lineage: Archaea
Description: bacterial SSU rRNA
Rfam family: Archaeal small subunit ribosomal RNA
Source: RNAcentral
GGCCCACCAAGACUAUUACAGGUACGGGCUCUGAGAGGAGUAGCCCGGAGAUGGGUACUGAGACACGGACCCAGGCCCUACGGGGCGCAGCAGGCGCGAAAACUUUACAAUGCGGGAAACCGCGAUAAGGGGACACCGAGUGCCAGCAUACUAUGUUGGCUGUCCACAUGUGUAAAUAGCAUGUGUUAGCAAGGGCCGGGCAAGACCGGUGCCAGCCGCCGCGGUAACACCGGCGGCCCGAGUGGUAAUCACUAUUAUUGGGUCUAAAGGGUCCGUAGCCGGUUUAAUCAGUCUUCCGGGAAAUCUGACAGCUCAACUGUUAGGCUUCCGGGGGAUACUGUUAAACUUGGGACCGGGAGAGGUAAGAGGUACUACAGGGGUAGGAGUGAAAUCUUGUAAUCCCUGUGGGACCACCAGUGGCGAAGGCGUCUUACCAGAACGGGUCCGACGGUGAGGGACGAAAGCUGGGGGCACGAACCGGAUUAGAUACCCGGGUAGUCCCAGCCGUAAACGAUGCUCGCUAGGUGUCUGGAAUGGUGCGACCGUUUCAGGUGCCGCAGGGAAGCCGUGAAGCGAGCCACCUGGGAAGUACGGCCGCAAGGCUGAAACUUAAAGGAAUUGGCGGGGGAGCACCACAACAGGUGGAGCCUGCGGUUUAAUUGGAUUCAACGCCGGAA